This 492-nucleotide ribosomal RNA is filed under the name uncultured bacterium. RNAcentral's name for it is "partial 16S ribosomal RNA". It matches the Rfam family "Bacterial small subunit ribosomal RNA", at positions 29 to 507 of the family's 1533-position model. The record is from RNAcentral.
AGUGAACGCUGGCGGUAGGCCUAACACAUGCAAGUCGAACGGCAGCACAGUAAGAGCUUGCUCUUACGGGUGGCGAGUGGCGGACGGGUGAGGAAUACAUCGGAAUCUACUUUUUCGUGGGGGAUAACGUAGGGAAACUUACGCUAAUACCGCAUACGACCUACGGGUGAAAGCAGGGGAUCUUCGGACCUUGCGCGAUUGAAUGAGCCGAUGUCGGAUUAGCUAGUUGGCGGGGUAAAGGCCCACCAAGGCGACGAUCCGUAGCUGGUCUGAGAGGAUGGUCGGCCACACUGGAACUGAGACACGGUCCAGACUACUACGGGAGGCAGCAGUGGGGAAUAUUAGACAAUGGGCGCAAGCCUGAUCCAGCCAUACCGCGUGGGUGAAGAAGGCCUUCGGGUUGUAAAGCCCUUUUGUUGGGAAAGAAAAGCAGCAGGUUAAUACCCCGCUGUUCUGACGGUACCCAAAGAAUAAGCACCGGCUAACUUCGUG